Molecule: ribosomal RNA, 321 nt
Filed under: uncultured eukaryote
Lineage: Eukaryota
Description: partial 18S ribosomal RNA
Rfam family: Eukaryotic small subunit ribosomal RNA
Source: RNAcentral
CCCUUAGAUGUCCUGGGCCGCACGCGCGCUACACUGACAUGUUCAACAAGCCUCCUAGUUCGACAGGGUUUGGGAAAUCUUUGAACGCAUGUCGUGAUAGGGAUAGAUCAUUGCAAUUAUUGAUCUUGAACGAGGAAUUCCUAGUAAACGCGAGUCAUCAGCUCGCAUUGAUUACGUCCCUGCCCUUUGUACACACCGCCCGUCGCACCUACCGAUUGAAUGUUUCGGUGAAGAUUCCGGAUAGGACUUUUUUGAUUUAUUUCAAUUUUGUCUUAAAAGCUAUCUAAACCUCAACAUUUAGAGGAAGGUGAAGUCGUAACA